UGGUCUGCGCCUCCGCCUUUUUUCCUCUUUCGAGUCCGCCCCUUUCGUCAUCCGACCCUUUUUUUUUCUUGCUUCUCCAAACGACGCCACCAACCGCCGCAAUAGAUCAAUAGAAAGAUAGGAAUAUCUUCCAUAUAUGAAUAGUUUUCCGGCAGCCGCCACCACCCAACCCCUCCUCGAAGACGACUUCUCCUUUUACAUCUCCUUUUUUCAGGACGACUCCGCCGCACCACCCGCUUCGCCUCCGACGUCGAUCUCCGACAUGCCCAAGGGUCGCCGUAGACGAGAAGCCGGCGCAUCCGCCUCCGGUGAUGAGAGGAGGAAGAAGCGGAAAUCGAUCGCCAAUCUGCUGACCUCCAUCGCGGCGAUCGACGCCCAGGAUGAGUCCGAGCGGCGCGAGUCCGACGAAGACUCUCGCCGCGAGCUCUCACUUCUCGAGGAGAACCACCACCGGAAGGCUGAGGUCAUGCUCGACUACUACUCCCGCCUCGAGGACAACUUCUCCGCCCUCGACGAUGACGCUGACACCCUCCGCUCCAAGCGCGUCCGAGUAGCCGCCUCUGCGGUCGCCGCUGCAGCGGCGGCGGCCUCCGCUUCCGUCGAGAACGACGCUGGCCCUGCCACUUCCGCCGCCGGAAGCGGCCACCAGCAGAGGCGGCUUUGGGUGAAGGACCGGUCGCGAGCGUGGUGGGACCAAUGCAACAGCCCGGAUUUCCCCGAGGCGGAGUUCCGACGAGCGUUUCGGAUGGGCCGCGCCACGUUCGAUUUGAUCUGCGAUGAACUUGGGUCGGCAGUAGCGAAGGAGGACACGAUGCUCCGUGCCG
Molecule: long non-coding RNA, 824 nt
Filed under: Musa acuminata (dwarf banana)
Lineage: Eukaryota; Viridiplantae; Streptophyta; Magnoliopsida; Zingiberales; Musaceae
Description: long non-coding RNA (MACU_LNC004200)
Source: RNAcentral